UAUUUAAGGUGUAAUUUGGUAAAUAUCUUCCUCUUCUUCACUUUCUUUGCUCUCCAUUUCCUCUAAUAUCAUCAUUUUAUCUGAGUAGGGUGGUGGAUCCAUGGUCAUUUGUUUCAGUAAUGUGGUGUCAAUUAACCGCUGGACAAGUCCCCUUACACAGGGGAUAAUGCAACAGCCAAUAGCUGUCAAAACUCCUGCUACUACAAUCAAGGAUGUAAAUAUGGACAUUACCAUCCCUUUCCAUUUACCAAACCAAGAUUCCAACCAUCCUGUGAUGGAAGUGUCUGCUCCCGAAUUUUCUGCUAAUUCAUUGGCAAGGGUGGUAAGCCCUUGCAAUGCUCUUGUUACUGUGCCAUCCGGGGCUGUAUUGUUAAGGAUGAAAGUACAGCAGCAAGCAAACA
Oxyura jamaicensis (ruddy duck) is the source of this 401-nucleotide long non-coding RNA. RefSeq lists it as uncharacterized. Lineage: Eukaryota; Metazoa; Chordata; Aves; Anseriformes; Anatidae. The record is from RefSeq and is a predicted model, not a curated record. The transcript is spliced from 3 exons.